GCUGCGCACUUCGGUCUUUUACGUCGGCCUUCGCGAGCGUCUGGGCGGGUGGUAGGUGAGUGGGUAUUGCGGGCUAGUAUCCGAGCAAAAGAUGGUGGCGCAGGCCGAGUUAAGAGCUUUAAUCCUGUGAAGACAUCUUAGUGAAGAGUUUAGAGUGCUGAGAGUUGAAAGCUUGCACGUGGGAAACGUGCGGCCGGACUGCCACAUGUACUGAGGUUGAGUCGUGACGGCCACAGGCUCCGAGUUUUGGCGUGAGGAACCGCUGAUCGGCCACGGGCGCCGAACUUGCUGGCCUCCGGCAUGUGCCUGAGCGGCGGCGGAAAAACCACCUUAAUUGGGGCGGAGGGUUAGUUUUAACAGCAAAGGGCCUUUACUAAAAUGGCGAAGGCCUUCCGUCGGCGUUGUUUUAAAAUGGGAAGCCUCGACCCUGUAUUGAAACUGAGCUGUUCGAAGGCGGCGUUGUGUGCAAUUCGGAUUAAUGAAGGGGAAGGGUUUUGUGUGGAAAAACGCCUUGGAGUGUGACAUUUCUGCGAGAAUGCUUAAAUACCGAUUUCCCGCAGGAACAAUGGCGCUGUCUUCAGUGGCACAGUGGAGCAGCUCUGAAGAUGCAAAGAUACACGAAAAAACUUCCAGAACAUCUGGGAGAAUAUUUAAUGGAAAAUCGCUUGGUUAAAACCUGACACUUUUAACAGUGAGGGUCGCUGUCUGCCCAUUGAUAGAGGCCAGAUUGUCUUGGAAGUUCCAAAGUUGCAACGAUUUCUUUAGUUGAAUCCAUGGACAUGAAACCCACAGAUAUAGAGGGUUGGCCCGGUGCAGUGGCUCACGCCUGUAAUCCCAGCACUUUGGGAGGCCAAGGCGGGUGGAUCACCUGAGGUCAGAAGCUUGAGACCAGCCUGGCCAACAUGGGUACUGCUUUCUCUUGCUGCAGCUUGCUUCCUCCCUCAGGUAUGAAGUUAAGGUAACAUGAAGGAGGAUAUUGAAUGUUCCUAACACAAAGAAAUGAUAAAUGUUUGAGAUGGUGGAUGUACUAAUUGCCCUGAUCUGAUGACUAUACAUUAUAUAUAUUGAAACAUCAGUAUGUACCCCAUGAAUAUGUACAAUUAUAUGUCAACUUAAACACAUUUAAAAGUAAAAAAAAAAAAAUCCAAAACACGCAAGGAACU
Molecule: long non-coding RNA, 1163 nt
Filed under: Homo sapiens (human)
Lineage: Eukaryota; Metazoa; Chordata; Mammalia; Primates; Hominidae
Description: small nucleolar RNA host gene 5
Source: RNAcentral